AUUGAACGCUGGCGGCAUGCUUUACACAUGCAAGUCGAACGGUAACAGGUUAAGCUGACGAGUGGCGAACGGGUGAGUAAUGCAUCGGAACGUGCCCGAUCGUGGGGGAUAACACUUCGAAAGAAGUGCUAAUACCGCAUACGAUCUGAGGAUGAAAGCGGGGGACCGUAAGGCCUCGUGCGAUCGGAGCGGCCGAUGUCAGAUUAGGUAGUUGGUGGGGUAAAGGCUCACCAAGCCGACGAUCUGUAGCUGGUCUGAGAGGACGACCAGCCACACUGGGACUGAGACACGGCCCAGACUCCUACGGGAGGCAGCAGUGGGGAAUUUUGGACAAUGGGCGCAAGCCUGAUCCAGCAAUGCCGCGUGCAGGAAGAAGGCCUUCGGGUUGUAAACUGCUUUUGUACGGAACGAAAAGCUUCGGGCUAAUACCCUGGAGUCAUGACGGUACCGUAAGAAUAAGCACCGGCUAACUACGUGCCAGCCGCCGCAGUAA
This 493-nucleotide ribosomal RNA is filed under the name uncultured bacterium. RNAcentral describes it as "partial 16S ribosomal RNA". It matches the Rfam family "Bacterial small subunit ribosomal RNA", at positions 30 to 523 of the family's 1533-position model. The record is from RNAcentral.